RNAcentral lists this ribosomal RNA (238 nucleotides) under Cenococcum sp. Its description in RNAcentral is "partial large subunit ribosomal RNA". It matches the Rfam family "Eukaryotic large subunit ribosomal RNA", at positions 104 to 339 of the family's 3401-position model. Lineage: Eukaryota; Fungi; Ascomycota; Dothideomycetes; Gloniales; Gloniaceae. The record is from RNAcentral.
ACAGCUCAAAUUUGAAAUCUGGCUCUUUUAGGGUCCGAGUUGUAAUUUGUAGAGGAUGCUUCGGCGUGGGCUCCGGUCUAAGUUCCUUGGAACAGGACGUCAUAGAGGGUGAGAAUCCCGUAUGUGAUCGGUUGCCUUUGCCAUGUGAAGCUCCUUCGACGAGUCGAGUUGUUUGGGAAUGCAGCUCUAAAUGGGAGGUAAAUUUCUUCUAAAGCUAAAUACUGGCCAGAGACCGAUA